Molecule: non-coding RNA, 337 nt
Organism: Manis javanica (Malayan pangolin)
Lineage: Eukaryota; Metazoa; Chordata; Mammalia; Pholidota; Manidae
Source: RefSeq, a predicted model, not a curated record
GGUUAAUUCUUACCUUUUUUUCUUCUUUUAAAUACUUUUAGAAACCCUAAUGGCUCUCCUAACCGACUGCUUAAAGCUGGAGUCAUUUCUACCCAAAAUAUCUACAGCUUUGGCUUUGGGAAGUUUUAUCUCACAGGGGGUACACAGCUGGCUUAUCUAGGAUGUCUUCCAGUAAUUGGAGAGAAGGAAGUGAUUCAAGCUGAUGAUGAACCUACCUUCUCUUUCUUCAGUGGCCCUUACACGGUCAUGACCAACCUGGUGUGGAAUGGGAACAGGGUCACAGUGAAGGGGCUGAACCUCCCCACCCACUCGCACUGCAGCAGGCUGCGGCUCGCCG